RNAcentral lists this ribosomal RNA (259 nucleotides) under uncultured bacterium. RNAcentral's name for it is "partial 16S ribosomal RNA". It matches the Rfam family "Bacterial small subunit ribosomal RNA", at positions 81 to 339 of the family's 1533-position model. The record is from RNAcentral.
AACCCUGAUGGCGAGCGGCGAACGGGUGAGUAAUAUAUCGAGACGUACCUAAUAGAGGGGGGAUAACUCAUCGAAAGAUGAGCUAAUACCGCAUAAUCUCUGAGGAGGAAAGGUGGGGGACCAGCAAUGGCCUGCCGUUGUUAGAGCGAUCGAUACCCGAUUAGCUAGUUGGUGAGGUAAAGGCUCACCAAGGCGAUGAUCGGUAGCUGUUCUGAGAGGAUGGACAGCCACACUGGGACUGAGACACGGCCCAGACUCC